CCUACGGGAGGCAGCAGUGGGGAAUCUUGCGCAAUGGGCGAAAGCCUGACGCAGCAACGCCGCGUGCGGGAAGAAGGCUUUCGGGCUGUAAACCGCUUUCAGCAGGAACGAAAAUGACGGUACCUGCAGAAGAAGGAGCGGCCAACUAUGUGCCAGCAGCCGCGGUGAUACAUAGGCUUCAAGCGUUGUCCGGAUUUAUUGGGCGUAAAGAGUUCGUAGGCGGUCGAGUAUGUCGGGUGUGAAAAUUCUGGGCUCAACCCAGAGACGCCACCCGAUACUGCUUAACUUGAGUUCGAUAGGGGAGUGGGGAAUUCCUAGUGUAGCGGUGAAAUGCGCAGAUAUUAGGAGGAACACCGGUGGCGAAGGCGCCACUCUGGAUCGAUACUGACGCUGAGGAACGAAAGCAUGGGUAGCAAACAGGAUUAGAUACCCUGGUAGUCCAUGCCGUAAACGGUGGGCACUAGGUGUGGGAUUCUAUUAACGAAUUCCGCGCCGUCGCUAACGCAUUAAGUGCCCCGCCUGGGGAGUACGGUCGCAAGCUAAAACUCAAAUGAAUUGACGGCUUGAGAGNGCGAGCGACGACGAGGAGAG
Molecule: ribosomal RNA, 591 nt
Filed under: uncultured bacterium
Lineage: Bacteria
Description: bacterial SSU rRNA
Rfam family: Bacterial small subunit ribosomal RNA
Source: RNAcentral